AGUGAACGCUGGCGGUAGGCCUAACACAUGCAAGUCGAACGGCAGCACAGUAAGAGCUUGCUCUUACGGGUGGCGAGUGGCGGACGGGUGAGGAAUACAUCGGAAUCUACUUUUUCGUGGGGGAUAACGUAGGGAAACUUACGCUAAUACCGCAUACGACCUACGGGUGAAAGCAGGGGAUCUUCGGACCUUGCGCAAUUGAAUGAGCCGAUGUCGGAUUAGCUAGUUGGCGGGGUAAAGGCCCACCAAGGCGACGAUCCGUAGCUGGUCUGAGAGGAUGAUCAGCCACACUGGAACUGAGACACGGUCCAGACUCCUACGGGAGGCAGCAGUGGGGAAUAUUGGACAAUGGGCGCAAGCCUGAUCCAGCCAUACCGCGUGGGCGAAGAAGGCCUUCGGGUUGUAAAGCCCUUUUGUUGGGAAAGAAAAGCAGCAGGUUAAUACCCCGCUGUUCUGACGGUACCCAAAGAAUAAGCACCGGCUAACUUCGUG
RNAcentral lists this ribosomal RNA (492 nucleotides) under uncultured bacterium. Its description in RNAcentral is "partial 16S ribosomal RNA". It matches the Rfam family "Bacterial small subunit ribosomal RNA", at positions 29 to 507 of the family's 1533-position model. The record is from RNAcentral.